Molecule: non-coding RNA, 873 nt
Organism: Lepisosteus oculatus (spotted gar)
Lineage: Eukaryota; Metazoa; Chordata; Actinopteri; Semionotiformes; Lepisosteidae
Source: RefSeq, a predicted model, not a curated record
GGGCGGGGCCAGGCAGAGGAGGGGCCGCGAGCCCUCCGAGGGCGGGAAGAGGCGGGCGGUUAGUCAACCGUCGGCUCUCGAGCGAGGCGGCGGCGGGGUGUUAAACCGGUUCGAAGGGAAUUUCUACCCGACUCGGAAACAGGACCCGAGGAGACGGCGUUUCGGCCGGGUGGAAGUGCAAAUGGAAACUGCGGCACACACACACACACAGUCCUAAGGCGAACCGAGGACGAGAGGCGUGCAGGACUGUGUUGGCAAGGUUUGGCUUGAUAACAAGGCUUAAAGAAAGACACGAGGACAGAGAGCUGGGAGGGAGGACUGAAAGACACGGGGAGAGAGCGCACUCGGAGCCCUCAGCCAGCUGUUUUGGAAAACUGAUGUGUUCGUUUAAAGAAAAUGUGGCUUCGCCUGAGAAAACGAAACUUGUCAACUCAUAGAAAUUGAGUUCACCUAAAUAUUACAAGUACGAGAUAAUGAGCACAAAAUGAGUUGAAUCAAGAGUUGUUGUUUUUUUAGAAGUUCUUGACAGAUACGCUAAGAAAAAUGAUGUAGUGAAGUCUGGUAUCCAAGCCCCUGAGCCCACUUACAUGCAGAGGAAUAAAAGUUUCAUUUAAAGAUAAAUUGCAACCUGGUGUUUAAGCAUAACGUUACAACCAUAAAGUUUUCUUAUGUGUUGUUUUAACACACAGCAUUCUGUCUUUAAACAACAACACAAAAAAAACGCUUUUUAGAUUUACUGUCUGGGCACUCCUGUUUGACCUCAUGUUUUCUGCAGUGCGCUUGCUGCAGGAGAGCUGAGCGAAAACAGUCUUAAACAGUAGUUUUGAACUGAUAAGAGUUUUCCCAGUGCGGUGCGCGGCAGUGACACUGGGC